Molecule: ribosomal RNA, 253 nt
Filed under: uncultured bacterium
Lineage: Bacteria
Description: partial 16S ribosomal RNA
Rfam family: Bacterial small subunit ribosomal RNA
Source: RNAcentral
UACAUAGGCAGCAAGCGUUGUUCGGAGUUACUGGGCGUAAAGGGUGCGUAGGCGGCCCUAUAAGUAUGGUGUGAAAUCUCCCGGCUUAACUGGGAGGGUGCGCUAUAGACUGUGGGGCUAGAGUGCGGGAGAGGAAAGUGGAAUUCCUGGUGUAGCGGUGAAAUGCGUAGAUAUCAGGAGGAACACCGGUGGUGUAAACGGCUUUCUGGACCGUAACUGACGCUGAGGUGCGAAAGCGUGGGGAGCAAACAGG